UGAAAGCAAGCUUAUAAGCGUCUCAUUUACACUGAGAAGAUUCUUGGCCGGGAUUCCAAGGCUUUUAA
RNAcentral lists this transfer RNA (68 nucleotides) under Ibla cumingi. Its description in RNAcentral is "tRNA-Val". The record is from RNAcentral. Lineage: Eukaryota; Metazoa; Arthropoda; Thecostraca; Iblomorpha; Iblidae.